This 354-nucleotide ribosomal RNA is filed under the name uncultured bacterium. Its description in RNAcentral is "bacterial SSU rRNA". It matches the Rfam family "Bacterial small subunit ribosomal RNA", at positions 137 to 507 of the family's 1533-position model. The record is from RNAcentral.
AGGGGGACAACAGUUGGAAACGACUGCUAAUACCGCAUAAGCCCACGGCUCGGCAUCGAGCAGAGGGAAAGGGAGCAAUCCGCUUUGAGAUGGCCUCGCGUCCGAUUAGCUAGUUGGUGAGGUAAUGGCCCACCAAGGCGACGAUCGGUAGCCGGACUGAGAGGUUGAACGGCCACAUUGGGACUGAGACACGGCCCAGACUCCUACGGGAGGCAGCAGUGGGGAAUAUUGCACAAUGGGGGAAACCCUGAUGCAGCGACGCCGCGUGGAGGAAGAAGGUCUUCGGAUUGUAAACUCCUGUUGUUGAGGAAGAUAAUGACGGUACUCAACAAGGAAGUGACGGCUAACUACGUG